RNAcentral lists this transfer RNA (72 nucleotides) under Fibrella aestuarina BUZ 2. It matches the Rfam family "tRNA". From Rfam's summary of the family: Transfer RNA (tRNA) molecules are approximately 80 nucleotides in length. Their secondary structure includes four short double-helical elements and three loops (D, anti-codon, and T loops). Lineage: Bacteria; Pseudomonadati; Bacteroidota; Cytophagia; Cytophagales; Spirosomataceae. The record is from Rfam by way of RNAcentral.
GGCUUAAUGGUGUAAUGGAUAGCAUGACUGUCUUCGGAACAGUUGGUUGGGGUUCGAGUCCCUGUUAGGCUA